CCAAAACCCAACCCAAAUUCUUAUAAUUUCACUCCGGACUCCUCUCUCUUCUCUCUCUCCGCACACGCUUCAUCCCAUAGCGACGCCAUGUCCGACGACUCAAGGUCUACCGACUCCAGAUCCGGUAAUUAAUCCUCAUUCGGAAGUAUCUAUUAUAGUGUUUACAACAGACUUCCAUCCCAAAUUAUUAUUUCAUUUAUGCCGCUCUAUUGGCUCUCCCCACACAAGAGGAUUUUGGUGUUUCUGUAUUAUACUAUUGAAAUGGAGAAUGUAUGUUUUUGAAAUGAUUGUAAAUUUGUUUUGGGUGCUUUAUUUAGAGAAGUUCAUUUUCGGGUUUGUAAAUGAGGAGCUUAUAUAUUUCGACAGUUGAUUACCUGGAAAUUAUUGUGUUAAAAAUGUCACCUAAUUUUUACAGAUCUUCAUAUUUGGGUGGGUGUUGGUACUAUGACAAUUGUAGUGUUUUUGGGUGGGCUUUGGUGCUAUCCCUUCAACUGAAUUCGUUUUUUUUUUGGAAUGGUAAUGCUAGCUAGUGGUUUUUUGCUUUUCUUUAUGCAAAUUCCAUCCGUAGUAGUCUUUUAAUUUGGGUUUUAUGUUUUAUCCUGAAGCAAAUUCCAGCCACAGUUACAUGUCCAUUGGAGAAAAUUGUUUCAUUUACAUUUGGGUAUAUUGCUACUUGCCAAUUCGAAUAUUAUUGUGAUGUGUUUUUUUCGUUGUUAUAUUAGAAUUCGUCGAUGGCUAGAAGAAAUAAGGGGUAUGUCAUUCAUGUAGACGGGUAGGACACAUGUUGCCAGAUUGUCCCUGAAAGAGAAGAUGUCCAAACUGUGGCCAAGGCUAUGUUAAAUGGAUGGAGAUGGAAAAGCAAAGCGAUAACAAAGGGCGUUUGUUCCAUCGUUGUACCUGUGAUGUAUGUCGAUUUUUCGAACUGGAAUAAAUCUCCUCUUGCCGCAGUAUAUCCCUUGCAAGAUGAAGGUCAAUCAAGUGGCAUCUCUAAUGGUAGUGAAGCCGUCGAUGAUUUGUCACAUAUGUUGGAAAUGUGUGCUAACAUAACCGAGAAAAAAGACAUUGAGAUCUUUCUCAACAUCAUAACAAUUCGAAAGGGACAACGGGAUUCGGAAGAUGUUCUAUGAACUUUGAUGUAAUGGGAUGGUUUAAGAAUAUUUAAUCUUCGGUGUCAUGCGUUAACUAAUGAUUUUGUAAAUGUUUCAAGACAGCUUGGAUCCAUAAAUUUCAGUAGGUUUUCAAUUUCUUGUUAUGAGCAUUAUCUUUAAGACAUGCUUUACUAAUGUGCUGUUGAGUUUAAAUGCUUCUGUGA
RNAcentral lists this long non-coding RNA (1312 nucleotides) under Olea europaea subsp. europaea. The record is from RNAcentral. Lineage: Eukaryota; Viridiplantae; Streptophyta; Magnoliopsida; Lamiales; Oleaceae.